This is a long non-coding RNA of Ruditapes philippinarum (Manila clam), 1187 nucleotides long. RefSeq lists it as uncharacterized. NCBI's taxonomy places the organism in Eukaryota, Metazoa, Mollusca, Bivalvia, Venerida, Veneridae. The transcript has 3 exons. The record is from RefSeq and is a predicted model, not a curated record.
UUUGGAGAUAUCUUGUUUUAAAUGUUAGGGAGCAUAUUUUGGAAUUUUCAAAGAAAACAUUUAUCUAAGUGUGACAAGAUUCAGGAAAUGUUUGGUUGUUGUAAUUGAACCUAAAGAUUAAUGACCUGGGACAGGAAGAUAAACAAAAGAAACAUGAUAGUAAAAAGGUUCAGAGUCAGCUUGUAAGCAAGUUUGCAAGACUGUUCCAAACUACAAGAAGAUGGCAAUCCAGCUUUGCUGUGUUUUAUCAUAUUAUUCAUUGGCAUUGGCAUCGAUUAAGGAAGCCAACUGUAGACCAGGAAAGGCUUCAAGGAAUAUACUACAGAAUAAUGUAUCCUGGAGGAUUUUCCACAUGUGACCCCUGUGAUGGUGAGGGAAAAACUAAGGGACAUUUUAAAAGCAUGAAGAGUGAACAGGAAUUCAAAAGAUAGAUAUUUGAAUACAUUAAAAUAUAGCCGGAUACCAAAAAAUAAUAACUGAACAUUGAUUGUAAUAUUUACCAUUAAAGACUAUAACUAACUUAACUUUUCAUUUGUAGUGCAUUACUAUUUACUUCACACUGACAUUAAAUGUUUCAUUGAGUCAUUUGAUCAUUUUUUGCUCUGUAUUAUUAUAAAGAAGUUUCUUUAAGUUAAUUCCUUAAAAGGACAAUAUAAUUGCUCUUUUCAGAAUAUUUCAUUGGAUGUUAUAUUUUCUGAUUUUCCAUGGAUAUUCUAGAAAUUUCCAAGGUUUUUGCUCAAUAAACCUUUGGAAAAUUCUCUGAUGCCCUUAAGUAAGAAUUUUCGUAAAAAUAUAACAGUAUUCCCAGUUGUGAGAAACUUUCCGAGGUUUUCAUUUAAAAACCUUGGAAAACAAACCACGGAAACACUUUAAAAAUCCUUGGAAAUCGUUCCAAUACUCCGAGGACUCACUCAUUUUCCAAGGUUUUCUAAAAAAAUCCUCGGAAAUUAUUUUACGAGGUUUUUAUUCUGAAAUCCUUGGAAAUCGUUCCAAUACUCCGAGGUCAUACUUUUUACGAGGUUUUUUUUUAAAAAAAACUCGGAAAUUUUUUACAAGGUUUUUCACCCUCUCCCUAUUUUUCCAAGGUUUUUUUAAUAGCAAAGUUUUGCAUUUUCUUGUUCCAAUACUCCGAGGUUUUUUUCCAAGGAUUUUGAGCCAAAAACCUUGGAAAAUCUACACCCGGGAUG